RNAcentral lists this ribosomal RNA (253 nucleotides) under uncultured bacterium. RNAcentral's name for it is "partial 16S ribosomal RNA". It matches the Rfam family "Bacterial small subunit ribosomal RNA", at positions 524 to 776 of the family's 1533-position model. The record is from RNAcentral.
UACGUAGGGGGCAAGCGUUGUCCGGAUUUAUUGGGCGUAAAGCGCUCGCAGGUGGUUCGUCGCGUCGUGCGUGAAAGACCCCGGCUCAACUGGGGAGCGUCGUGCGAUACGGGCGGACUGGAGGCCAGUAGGGGGAUGCGGAAUUCCGGGUGUAGUGGUGGAAUGCGUAGAGAUCCGGAGGAACACCAGCGGCGAAGGCGGCAUCCUGGACUGGUCCUGACACUCAUGAGCGAAAGCGUGGGGAGCGAUCCGG